RNAcentral lists this ribosomal RNA (466 nucleotides) under Vreelandella stevensii. Its description in RNAcentral is "partial 16S ribosomal RNA". It matches the Rfam family "Bacterial small subunit ribosomal RNA", at positions 338 to 795 of the family's 1533-position model. Lineage: Bacteria; Pseudomonadati; Pseudomonadota; Gammaproteobacteria; Oceanospirillales; Halomonadaceae. The record is from RNAcentral.
CCUACGGCGGAGCAGCAGUGGGGAAUAUUGGACAAUGGGCGAAAGCCUGAUCCAGCCAUGCCGCGUGUGUGAAGAAGGCCUUCGGGUUGUAAAGCACUUUCAGUGGGGAAGAAAGCCUUGGGGCUAAUACCCUCGAGGAAGGACAUCACCCACAGAAGAAGCACCGGCUAACUCCGUGCCAGCAGCCGCGGUAAUACGGAGGGUGCGAGCGUUAAUCGGAAUUACUGGGCGUAAAGCGCGCGUAGGCGGUCUGAUAAGCCGGUUGUGAAAGCCCCGGGCUCAACCUGGGAACGGCAUCCGGAACUGUCAGGCUAGAGUGCAGGAGAGGAAGGUAGAAUUCCCGGUGUAGCGGUGAAAUGCGUAGAGAUCGGGAGGAAUACCAGUGGCGAAGGCGGUCUUCUGGACUGACACUGACGCUGAGGUGCGAAAGCGUGGGUAGCAAACAGGAUUAGAUACCCCAGUAGUC